Molecule: ribosomal RNA, 515 nt
Filed under: uncultured bacterium
Lineage: Bacteria
Description: bacterial SSU rRNA
Rfam family: Bacterial small subunit ribosomal RNA
Source: RNAcentral
UUGAACGCUGGCGGCAUGCCUUACACAUGCAAGUCGAACGGCAGCGCGGACUUCGGUCUGGCGGCGAGUGGCGAACGGGUGAGUAAUGUAUCGGAACGUACCCUGUUGUGGGGGAUAACUACGCGAAAGCGUAGCUAAUACCGCAUACGCCCUGAGGGGGAAAGCGGGGGACCCUAAAUAGAGCGCACUGGGGAGUGCGUUGUAUUUAGGGCCUCGCGCAAUAGGAGCGGCCGAUGUCGGAUUAGCUAGUUGGUGAGGUAAAGGCUUACCAAGGCGACGAUCCGUAGCUGGUCUGAGAGGAUGAUCAGCCACACUGGGACUGAGACACGGCCCAGACUCCUACGGGAGGCAGCAGUGGGGAAUUUUGGACAAUGGGGGCAACCCUGAUCCAGCCAUGCCGCGUGAGUGAAGAAGGCCUUCGGGUUGUAAAGCUCUUUCGGACGGAAAGAAAUCGCGCAGGUAAAUAAUCUGCGUGGAUGACGGUACCGUAAGAAGAAGCACCGGCUAACUACGUG